GGACUACCGGGGUAUCUAAUCCUGUUUGAUCCCCACGCUUUCGUGCCUCAGCGUCAAUGUUUGCUUAGUAAGCUGCCUUCGCAAUUGGUGUUCUAUGUCAUAUCUAUGCAUUUCACCGCUACAUGACAUAUUCCGCCUACCUCAACAAAAUUCAAGACAGAUAGUAUCAAUGGCAGUUUCCGGGUUGAGCCCGGAGAUUUCACCACUGACUUAACUGCCCGCCUACACACCCUUUAAACCCAGUGAAUCCGGAUAACGCUUGCACCCUCCGUAUUACCGCGGCUGCUGGCAC
Molecule: ribosomal RNA, 292 nt
Filed under: uncultured Bacteroidota bacterium
Lineage: Bacteria; Pseudomonadati; Bacteroidota
Description: uncultured Bacteroidetes bacterium partial 16S ribosomal RNA
Source: RNAcentral